This 90-nucleotide transfer RNA is filed under the name Roseovarius indicus. RNAcentral's name for it is "tRNA_Ser_TGA". It matches the Rfam family "tRNA". From Rfam's summary of the family: Transfer RNA (tRNA) molecules are approximately 80 nucleotides in length. The record is from RNAcentral. RNAcentral also lists the same sequence under 4 other names. Lineage: Bacteria; Pseudomonadati; Pseudomonadota; Alphaproteobacteria; Rhodobacterales; Roseobacteraceae.
GGAGGAGUGGCAGAGUGGUCGAUUGCACCGGUCUUGAAAACCGGCGUACGUGAAAGCGUACCGUGGGUUCGAAUCCCACCUCCUCCGCCA